UGCUGCGUAGCUCAGUCGGUAAGACGCUUGACUUUAGAGAGACAGGUCGCGGGUUCGAGCCCCGCAGAGGUGU
Molecule: non-coding RNA, 73 nt
Organism: Caenorhabditis elegans
Lineage: Eukaryota; Metazoa; Nematoda; Chromadorea; Rhabditida; Rhabditidae
Source: the annotation of a RefSeq genome assembly